AGCCCUUAAACACACACCGAAACUCUUCUUCUGUCCUGGAAUGCCUUUCCCGCCCCCUCUGACCUUUUUAUCGGUUCUCAGACGUGGAUCUGCCGAACUCUAAUCAACACGUUUAUCACGUCUCCACACUGCUUCACUCGCUUUGUUUUUCCCUUCCUAUUCCUUCCUUCUUUCUGUGCUAGAAUUUCCACCGGCUUCUGUAUAGUAGUGGUGCCACUCACCCUAAAACCCCACCCCAUCCAGCACUCCAAUUGGUCAGUUUCAUACCACAGUACAAGUGGACCAGUGAGAAACCUUUUCAAGCUGCUGUCACAGUGAAGCGGGUGUUUGACGCCGCGGUUUCAUCAAACCACGGUGCUUCCUGAAACAUACAAUCUUGAGAUUCUAGUAGCUGUGUGUCAUACGAACCAGUAAUAACACUGGCGCAGAGACGGUCAAAAGUGUGUAUAUGUGUGCCGUGUGUGUUUGUGAGUUAAAUGGACGGUCAGAGUGCAUGUGUUCUUUUACAUGUGCUGGUAUCCAGGAUAUCCCUUCCUAUGUGGCGUGUGCAUGGGUGUUUAUUUUGAAUGGAAUACUUGACACGCUGUUACAGUGGAUCCCUGUUACACAAACACACGUAAUAAAGGUUGUGUUUCCAGGCUGUUGUUCCUGAGGGCAGGUGUGUCAACCGUGUUAUGACUCCUAGAGAAACAUUACGUCCCCCUCUGAUCAAACACUGUAUUGUUUAUAUUCUGUAUGUACAAAAGAAUCGCCUAGAGCAAAUGGAACGGAUGCCAAAAGAACAAGUACUCUAAAAGCAAAUAUUUUAUCUUGGUUCUCAUUAAAAGAGAAGAUAAAUCUAGUUUUGGACAUUUCGUUUUGUUCAAUGGUUUAUUUUUCCACAUUUAUCAUGAUUCAGAGGUCGAGAUUUAUAUUGUUGAUUUAUCAGAGCCGUGUUAUAUUAGAUGUUUAUUUAUCCCAGUGGCUGUGUGCUAGACAGGUGAAGACAUAUAUGUAUUCUGUGUGUGUGUGUGUGUGUGUGCGUGUGUGUAUGUGUGUGUGCUGUGAAAUAUUAAUGCAGCGUUUCACUUCAGCAUCAUUUAACCCCACAGAGCAGCCUGUCAAUCAAUAAGCCCCGCCUCUUCUGUAGGAUGACCUCACUCUGUUCCACUGCAGCAGGGACUCCCUCACAAACACAGUUCAAACGCUGAUGGCUGCAAUAUUAAACAGCCCACUCGUUAUGCACUCAUAUCUCAUUCCCCCCGCUGUGCAUUUUUCUUCCACCAUAUGGGCUUCCCCACCUCUCUCUCACACACACACAAACACACACACACAGCUUUGAGUCUUUCCCAGACCACUCUGGAGUUGUGCCAAAUGCGCAUACAGUAGUGCUCAGUGGAAACUCACCUGAUGAGACUGAUAAAGAAAAGCAAACAUAGUGGACACAAAGAAAAUUAAUUACCAUAAAUUAUGGGUUUGAGAGAUUGUUGUAAACAUGACAAACAUGGAUAGAUUUUACGAAGGUUUAAAAUAAAUAGUUAGGCCCAAAAAUGAAAAUCUACUCA
Molecule: long non-coding RNA, 1544 nt
Organism: Cyprinus carpio (common carp)
Lineage: Eukaryota; Metazoa; Chordata; Actinopteri; Cypriniformes; Cyprinidae
Source: Ensembl